Molecule: ribosomal RNA, 541 nt
Filed under: uncultured bacterium
Lineage: Bacteria
Description: bacterial SSU rRNA
Rfam family: Bacterial small subunit ribosomal RNA
Source: RNAcentral
AGUGGGGGAUAACGUAGCGAAAGUUACGCUAAUGCCGCAUAUUCUGUGAGCAGGAAAGCGGGGGAUCGCAAGACCUCGCGCUUCCGGAGCGGCCGAUGUCGGAUUAGCUAGUUGGCGGGGUAAAGGCCCACCAAGGCGACGAUCUGUAGCGGGUCUGAGAGGAUGAUCCGCCACACUGGGACUGAGACACGGCCCAGACUCCUACGGGAGGCAGCAGUGGGGAAUUUUGGACAAUGGGGGCAACCCUGAUCCAGCCAUGCCGCGUGAGUGAAGAAGGCCUUCGGGUUGUAAAGCUCUUUCAGCCGGAAAGAAAUCGCACCGAUUAAUACUCGGUGUGGAUGACGGUACCGGAAGAAGAAGCACCGGCUAACUACGUGCCAGCAGCCGCGGUAAUACGUAGGGUGCGAGCGUUAAUCGGAAUUACUGGGCGUAAAGCGUGCGCAGGCGGUUUUGUAAGACAGGUGUGAAAUCCCCGGGCUUAACCUGGGAACUGCAUUUGUGACUGCAAGGCUAGAGUGUGGCAGAGGGGGGUAGAAUUCCG